UACAAAACACCAAUCGUUCCAUCCUUCCCUUCCAUAUACCAGAAGGGAUCAAAUCAUAUCGAAUAUUUUCAUAACAAAAAUCUUCCAUAAACACCAAUCUUUCCAUCCUCCCCUCUCACGAUUCUUUCCAUACAGAUGCUCCCUCCCGCAUUCGUUUAUUUCCUUCCAAUUAUACCAGGAUUUUUUUCCAGCUUCUGUUCCUCAAAAAAUUUCUCACGAUCAAGGCCCCUGCCCUUCCUUAUCUACCCACAAAUCUCGUGCCCCUCUCCCAGGUCAGGUUCCGGAGCCGGGUCGUCGCCGCGGAGUACGUCGAUGCGGAGCCGGAGGGCGCGGAGGACCGGUGGGAGAGGUGGAACGGCAACGGCGAGGCCUUCGGCGACGGCUCGGGUGUGUGGCGCCUCACUGUGGGCCACUGGGGCGCCGGCGAGCAGGAGCCAGAGACGGAGGAGGUGCAUGAGUCCGACUUCCUGAUCCUCUGCAUCGGCAGUUUCAGCGGCAUGCCCAACAUCCCAGCGGUGUCCCCAGGCCCGGAGGCGUUCCGCGGGCGGGUGCUCCUGCAUGGAGCUCUCCCACAUGGCCGACGAGGACGCCACCGCGCUGGUUAAGGGGAAGCGCAUCACCAUCAUGGGGUCCGGCAAGUUGGCCUUCGAGAUCGCCGCCGAGUGCGCCGACGCCAAUGGCGCGGGGACGCCGUGCACGAUGUUGUGCCAGAACCCUCAUUGGCUGCUACCAUCGGGUACCUCUACAUGAACCAAAGAACGCAUUUUAUUCUAACUGUUAGUCUGCUAUAUCCACGAGCUCACUGACGCCAGACCAGCAAGCAGCCUAGAUUGAAUGGCAGUGAGCUCCAAGUUCAACUGAUUAUAUAAUGCUGCACGUGAUCUGCGCCACCCCCACACGAUCCGCUACCAUAUCAAUGAUUGUGUAUCUGUAUUUAUUUAUCUACAAAUCGUUGUACUGUUGUGCUUUUGUUAAGCAGAUACAUGCAUGGCAGGGGGAAGUUGAGCGAGCAUGGCAAAGCCAAAGAUAUCUUCCUUGGAGCUACCAUUUAAUUCAUAAGAUGUCAAGUAAUAGCUUGAAGUUUAGGUGAUAAAAAUGCUAAUAUGAUGAUCAGGUCAGGUAUAAUAUCAUAGAAAAUGUAAAAAAAAUAUCAUUGGAGUUGUUUUCAUUAUAGUAAUCAGAAUGCUUUGUCUUGCACCAUUAUUUGUUGAACAUCUUUAUUUGUAGGAUGUAGGCUGAGUUUCAGAAGAUGAGAGUUGAAAUGGCUGGAAUGAGAACAAAAAAAUGGUAGCUUGGUCUUUACAAUUGCAGUUUCAAUUCCUUAUUUGAGUCUAACUCAGGUGUUUCAUAGACUUUCCAAAAUAUCUAUUUUUGAACCUUACUGAAGUUGGCCUCUUACUGAGGAAAAAAGUCUAUGAAUGGAUCAUCUGAAAAACAAGACGUUACAGUUCCUUAAAAUUAAAAGUGAAAUUGCUUGCCAAAUACAGUAACAGGUAACUCCAAUAUUUGUUGGAAUGAGAUAACGUAUGCCAGGUGAAUAUUUGUAGAGUUACCUGUUAGGGUUCUGUUUAGUCUGUUAUGUUUCCCUCUAAUUUUUUUAUUGCUUAGCUAGGGUAGAUAUUUUUAGUCUGUUAUGUUUCCUUGAUUUUUAAUUUUUUUGCUUAGCUAGGUUAGAUAUUUGUUUCCAGGUGUUACAACAUGGCUUAGCACCUACUACAUCAACGUUUCUCUGCUCCAAUUCUUACCGUCCCACAUCUCAAAGAAUUUGUGUGGUAGUCCCUAUCAUGAAAAAAAGUAGAACAAUUUCUAGCUUUCAUAUGCAUUUGUUUAUGCUGUAAUGUUUAAGAAUGAAGCAUUGAUCAAGGCCCCACAAAGGUGAUGUAGUGAUAUCGUGAUGUUCUAUACGCUAAUUGGAUGCAGGUGACAUGUCUCUCCUUUUCAAUUUCUCUUAUCGCAGGUUUGAUCGGAUGGAAUUCACACACUUGGAUCGAAGGAUUUGUGAUAUCAUUAGUUGUCACAUGGAAUGGGUAUGAUCUACAAAUUUGAUCUGGGAAUGAAUGGCUAUGUACUGGUUAUGCCAAUAGGAUGAUAAAGGCAAGGAAGAAGGUGGAUGGAGCGCCGAGGAACAUGAUAAGGAAGGGGUCGGAUGAGAGAGGAGAGAAGAGUAGGGUGAAGGACGAGAUGGAGGGAAAGAGGGACAAGGACAUGGUGAACGGAGUUUCUUGAGGCGGAGGGUGGGGGCUUCUCGGAGGAGGAGAUGUUGGACUUCUCCUUGUCCUAGCUUGUUGCUGCCUUGCUGGGUAGGGGCCAGUCUGUCCUCAUGAGGUUGUUGUCAAAUUCCUCACCGAGACUUCAGUGAUGCUGGGACAACUCAAGCAUGAAAUGUUAUGGUAGUUUGUUUGGGAAAUUGUAAAUUCUUGUGCAUGUGUGGUAGAGUACAUUGGAAAAUAAGGUCGGGCAGUGGGAGGAUUUGUCAACCAGUUUCAUACUCUUAUUAUAAUUGGGGGUUAGGUUAGCAUUUUGUACAGCAGCUCACGUCUAAAAGAAAAUUUUAAG
This is a long non-coding RNA of Triticum aestivum (bread wheat), 2556 nucleotides long. RefSeq lists it as uncharacterized. NCBI's taxonomy places the organism in Eukaryota, Viridiplantae, Streptophyta, Magnoliopsida, Poales, Poaceae. The record is from RefSeq and is a predicted model, not a curated record. The transcript is spliced from 3 exons.